RNAcentral lists this ribosomal RNA (459 nucleotides) under uncultured Bacteroidales bacterium. Its description in RNAcentral is "partial 16S ribosomal RNA". It matches the Rfam family "Bacterial small subunit ribosomal RNA", at positions 338 to 794 of the family's 1533-position model. Lineage: Bacteria; Pseudomonadati; Bacteroidota; Bacteroidia; Bacteroidales. The record is from RNAcentral.
CCUACGGGGGGCAGCAGUAAGGAAUAUUGGGCAAUGGUCGGAAGACUGACCCAGCCAUGCCGCGUGCAGGAAGAAGGCCCUAUGGGUUGUAAACUGCUUUAGCCAGGGGCUAAACCUACCGAUGCGUUGGUAGCUGAAGGUACCUGGAGAAUAAGCAUCGGCUAACUCCGUGCCAGCAGCCGCGGUAAUACGGAGGAUGCGAGCGUUAUCCGGAUUUACUGGGUUUAAAGGGUGCGCAGGCGGUUGCUUAAGUCAGAGGUAAAAGCCCUAGGCUAAACAUAGGGAUUGCCUUUGAUACUGAACAGCUAGAGUGAAGAUGGAGGGGGUGAAAUGUGUUGUGUAGCGGUGAAAUGCAUAGAUAUAACACAGAACACCGAUCGCGAGGGCAGCUCACAAAUCUUCAACUGACGCUCAGGCACGAAAGCGUGGGGAUCAAACGGGAUUAGAUCCCCCGGUAGU